This 955-nucleotide long non-coding RNA is filed under the name Lupinus mutabilis. Its description in RNAcentral is "partial ncRNA". The record is from RNAcentral. Lineage: Eukaryota; Viridiplantae; Streptophyta; Magnoliopsida; Fabales; Fabaceae.
GUUCUAUUUCCAAAAUAUUCAGAUCUGCAGUGAACAGAGAGAGCAGAUUUGAGGAGAAUGCAAAGGGAGGAAGAAAGAGAGAGGAGGCGAAUUCGCGACAGACAAAGGAGACAAUCCAUGACUCAAGAACAAAGGGAAAAACAUUUAGCGAGACGCCGAAGAAAUUAUCAGCUCCGAAGACAGAGAGCUGCCAUUGCUUAUGGUCCAUUCGUUCCUCUCCUUCGUCAAAAUCCGUCGUUAGAAUCGAGUGCAGGCGAAGCUAGUACUAGUGACGAGGUUCAAGGGAUCACUUCUUCUACCUUAUUAGACUGCAAUGUACUAUGUCAUGGAACUGGUCUAACUCAACAUGUCCCCAACCAAGGAGUAGAAACAUUAAACUUGGGAAACAAGGUUGAUGAAGGAUCAUUGAGACAUGUGGAAACUCUAGAUCGUAAUCCAGCGAAUUCAUCGAGAAAGUUACGACUAAAUCAUAUUAAAUGUCUUGCGCGAAACGUGAAAUAUUCAAACAGUGAUCCACCUGGUACUCAUCAGGUUGCAGCAGAGUUGAUAACAAAGGAAGAUGUAUCAGCUGGUGAUUAUGGUAGUACUACAAAAUCAUUGCGUUUGAAUUGUAUCAAGCGCCUUGCUCGAUCGAGAAAUUCUCCGCUAAAAGAGAUUAUAGCAGAGAAAAAUCACAAUUUGCAAGCAGGAGGUAUUCAAUUAUAGCUGAGGUGAAAGCAUAUGGUUCAAUUGAAGGUAAAAACUUGUCAUGACUUUUGAUAAGAGCAUUAGUCAAAGCAGCAAUUCUCAGUUAACAACAUCUUCUUUACAUAUGAGCAUGAUCACUGUAAAGAAUUUUACUAGUUGAGGAAAUUAGUGACGAUGAGGUCACAGAUUCAAAUCAUGGAAACAGUUUCUUUACUUGCGGAGGUAAAGUUGCGUACAUCUACCUCCCCAGAUCCUACUAAGUGAAGUG